Molecule: long non-coding RNA, 286 nt
Organism: Nycticebus coucang (slow loris)
Lineage: Eukaryota; Metazoa; Chordata; Mammalia; Primates; Lorisidae
Exons: 3
Source: RefSeq, a predicted model, not a curated record
AGAAUUGAAAUAUCUUCUUAAUUGCAUACCAACUUGGCUUAGAUGCUCAUCUAUGUUUCUGGAUUCCUGCAUUGUAUUCCACUGAUCUGUUUUUCUAUUCCUGUGACAAAUAUCUGAUGAAGAAACUGAAGUUUCAGGAGCAAGAGUUUCCUGAAGAAUCCUGAGGAAGGGAUGUUAAUGGAAUUCUGGUAUUGUUUGGGAUGGAAAUACGCCCAAAUAAACAACUACAUUUCCCAGACUCCCUUGCAGCUGAAAGUAGCCAUGAGACAUGUUCGGCCAAUGAGAU